CGUCUCAGUUCGGAUUGUAGUCUGCAACCCGACUACAUGAAGCUGGAAUCGCUAGUAAUCGCGAAUCAGAAUGUCGCGGUGAAUACGUUCCCGGGCCUUGUACACACCGCCCGUCAAGCCAUGGGAGUCGGGAGUGCCUGAAGUUCGUGACCGUAUAGGAGCGACCUAGGGCAAGACUGAUGACUGGGGCUAAGUCGUAACAAGGUAGC
Molecule: ribosomal RNA, 209 nt
Filed under: uncultured bacterium
Lineage: Bacteria
Description: partial 16S ribosomal RNA
Rfam family: Bacterial small subunit ribosomal RNA
Source: RNAcentral